Harmonia axyridis is the source of this 1686-nucleotide long non-coding RNA. RefSeq lists it as uncharacterized. The record is from RefSeq and is a predicted model, not a curated record. The transcript has 6 exons. NCBI's taxonomy places the organism in Eukaryota, Metazoa, Arthropoda, Insecta, Coleoptera, Coccinellidae.
AAUGAUAAAUGAAUAAUCUAUUAUUAUAACUUUUUCAUCAUAUCAUUAAAAUAAUAAUAACUAAAAUAUAAACAUAAGUAUGAAAAAGAAGAAGAAUAUGAAAUAUCAAAACAAGAAGUUCCAUAGGCAUGAACUCGUUGAGGCAUAGAGUCAAGUAAAGUCAGAAAGAGUAUAUAAACUCAGAGAUGUUUUCAAAGCCAUCAUAAUGUUUUGAGCUUUCGAGUGCAGAGGUGUUUUUGUGUAGUAGUGACUUUGAAUUUAAAAUUCUAUAUUCAAUAUGUCUUUUCGAUUUUUGGACAUAGAAGCGGAAGUUAGCAGUGAGGAUGAAUUUGAGAUCCAGAAUUCAGACGAUAAACGUAAAAAAAAAACAAAAAGUGGUAGAUAGUUCCGAGGAAGAGGAAGAUGAUGAUGAAAUGUUGAGAGAAGAAAUCAAAGACCUUAUUGAUGACGACUCUCUCAGUGAUAGUGAUGAUUCGAUAUUUCUGGUGGUAAAAAAAGAAAGAGAUCAGAUGAUGAAGAAUUAGAUGAUCGACAUGAAGACGAUGAUUUCGACCUCAUCGAAGAAAAUUUGGGCGUUAAGAUUGAUCGAAAAAGGAAAUUCAAACGUAUAAGGAAAAUAAUAGCGAAUGAAAGUAAAGGGCAACAAAGGAGAACAACAAUGGACAUAGAUUCGUCCUCAGAUGAGGAUGACGAGGAAAAAUCCGAGGAAAAAACGGAGCUAGUCCAAAGAGAUGUGUCUGAUUCGGAAACGGAAGCAACAGAUGAUGAUUUCAUUAAUGAUGAUAUCAUUGAUGAUGAACUUCCAAUUGGUGCCAGAAAAAGGAAUAGGAGAGUCGUUUCUUCUAAUAUAUGACUACACUAAGGAUUUCGAAUAUCCCCCAACGAAAUAAUCGACAGGAUUGAAAUCCGGUUAUCUAGCGAGCAAGGUAUGCUGUCCACCACUGCCUAUCCACAUAUUUGGAAAGUUCUGGUCCAAAAAGUUCUUGAAGGUAACUCUAAAAUGAGGUGGAGCCCCUUCAUGAUUAAAAUACAUCCCUGCAAUGUCCAUAUAAUCGAGUAAUGCAGGUAGAUGAUUUUGAAGAAAAUCACCCGUAAGCUGUCUUGGUAGGAUGUGUGGCCCAAUCAAUCGAUUCUUAUAAACUCUACACCAUACGUUGGUUCUUUGAAAAUUCGUGUUGGGAUUUGGUGUACCUGAUUGCAUGAGGAUUUUCUUCAGCCCACUCAUGCGAAAUCCACAGAUUGAAGACGCCAUCUCUCGUGAAAAUGGCUUCAUCAGUAAAUAAAAUUCUAUUGAUUAUUCUUUCAUUUCUUAAAAUCCACCGACUAAAAUGAAUUCUAUUAAUUUCGUCACCUGACACCAAUCGUUGUAUUUUCUGGAGAUGAAAAGGGUAAAGGUUAUUUUUCUUUAAUCUACUCCAUACAUGCGGCACGUUCAGAGCAUGAGCAAUCCUUCUAGUGCUAUUUUCUGGAUGUGUCUCUAUCACUUCAAGAAUUUCUUCAUCGAUAUUGAGGUUCCUUCUUUCUUCAAUUUUGAUGUUGAGAACUGGCCAUUUUCACGAAUAUAAUUGAAAACUGAUGAAAAAGUUUUGUGAUGUGGUAACCUUCUAUUAGGGAAUCUUGAUUGGCAUUCCCUUACAGCCGCUCUACCAUUACCGUCACAAUAACUAUACACUAACAACAUAUCAG